RNAcentral lists this ribosomal RNA (426 nucleotides) under uncultured bacterium. Its description in RNAcentral is "partial 16S ribosomal RNA". It matches the Rfam family "Bacterial small subunit ribosomal RNA", at positions 354 to 796 of the family's 1533-position model. The record is from RNAcentral.
GUGAGGAAUUUUCCGCAAUGGGCGAAAGCCUGACGGAGCAAUGCCGCGUGAAGGAUGAAGGCCUAUGGGUUGUAAACUUCUUUUCUCAGAAAAGAAUUAUGACGGUAUCUGAGGAAUAAGCAUCGGCUAACUCUGUGCCAGCAGCCGCGGUAAGACAGAGGAUGCAAGCGUUAUCCGGAAUGAUUGGGCGUAAAGCGGCUGUAGGUUGUUUAAAUAGUAUUCUGUCAAAGAUUAGGGCUUAACCCUAGAUAGGCAGAAUAAACUUUUAAGCUAGAGUUUGGUAGAGGCAGAGGGAAUUCCCGGUGGAGCGGUGAAAUGCGUAGAUAUCGGGAGGAACACCAAAGGCGAAGGCACUCUGCUGGGCCAAUACUAACACUGAGAGACGAAAGCGAGGGGAGCAAAUGGGAUUAGAUACCCGGGUAGUCC